Molecule: long non-coding RNA, 5878 nt
Organism: Numida meleagris (helmeted guineafowl)
Lineage: Eukaryota; Metazoa; Chordata; Aves; Galliformes; Numididae
Exons: 2
Source: RefSeq, a predicted model, not a curated record
GUCAGAGGUCGGUGUUGUGCAGGAACCUGUCCUCGGUGCAAUCUCAGAGCUCUUUGUGGGUGUCUGAUUUCUGUAACGCGCUUCGGUUUCUAGUCUGAAUGUCACGCACGAAGAAUACCAUGACACUGCUCGAGGUGCACGCGAUCUUAUCUACCUGACAUUUUGGGCUUUUUUAAGCGUCCACUCACUCGAUUUGCAUAAAAAUCACAUGGGCUGCUUUCCCCCCCCCCCCUUUCCCCCCCCCAUUUUUUUUUUUUUUUUCAUGUAUCAUCAUAACAAACCACUUACGUUUACCCUCUGACAGCGCCAGCGCAGGCACCGCUCAGUGCUCCCUUUCCCCUCUGAUGGGGUCUGGGGUGGGGGGUCAGCGCUGCGCAGGGACAGUGCUCCCAUCCUGCUGUCACUCAGCACGGUGCUGAGUUUCGCUUCCAAGCAAACCACACCACCACGCACACGUCCCAACUGCUUCUCUUAAUUGCCACGGAUGAGACUUACUUUGAUUGAUAAGGAGACUCUCGCAGCACAGCCCCAGCUCCCUGCAGCCCCCCUGCCCGCACUCAGGACAACUCAGGGCCGCAAUUAACACAAACCCCGCUCGGCUCUCAGCCAUGUGUCGGCUGCAGCCCUCGCAUGGAACAAAAUGUUUCCCUCGGUGUCGGGAGAGGCAUCGGCUCCAGCGAGGGAGCGUGUGAAUGGCAGAGAGUGGGGUAGUGGGGUGUCGUGGGGUGCGUCGUGGCUUUUUUUUCCUGCUUUCUUCUUCUUCUUUUUUUUUUUUUUUGUUUUGAUUUGAUUUAAUUGGAGUGUUUGCGAUCUGGCUUGUUUCUACCUCAAGCAAAGGGCUGGAAAUGGAAAAGCCGGAAUGCGGCUGUUGCAGCGCACCCUGGGCACACCUGAGCCGUAUCUCCCCUUCCAACCCCAUGCUCCUGCCACCGCCCCCCUGGCCCCCAGCCCCAUUACACUGACCCCAUCACGCCCCAUGCAGAAUGCUCAGUGCCCGGUGCUGGGCCUGCAGCAGGGAAUGGGGCACCAUGGAGGGACAGUGGGAUGGAGGGAUAGGCAGCAAUGGGGAUAUCCCGCGGUGCCCCCUUGGCUACAUGUGAUGGCAUUGCUCUGCGUGAGAGCUGCUGUUGAUGUGCCGUGUGCAUUGUUUGGGGCAAUAAGCAUUACUUGGAUGAAUUUCCCACAAAAAGCCCUUUCUGAUCUUGGUGGACCCACUGCACUCAGAUAAAGACCCAGGAUAUAUCUCUGUGCAGCAUCCCAAAUUAUCGGUCUGUCUCUCAGUGCCCCGGGACAGCGCAAACUUGCUGUCAAAAAUGACUUACGGGACUUGCUGCCUGCCCCAUCUUGCUGGCACUGGGGACGAGGCCGAGCAAGCAUUGCUCCCACGGAGGUGUGCAGCACACUGCCCACGGCAGUGCCCUGCCGUGAUUUCAACAGGGUUGGAUGGAAGCAGCCCCGACCUCGCCAGGCACCCAGCCAGGGGAUCCCCAUCCAUUUUUAACCAGCUACAGACUGUAGUCUGACACCACCUCAAUAGGGCUGCACGAGGCCUGAGCCUUUGUGUGCCUGGUGGUGGCACCCCCCAUGUUCCCUUCCCACCCUGUGUCCCCAGCACACUCAUUCACCCACUUUUCCCCUCCUUUUGCCAUCAUGGAUCCUUUGGAAAUCUUCAGUGCUGGGACGCCGACUGGUCCCGGUGCUGCAGAUCCAUCAGCUACCAGCUGCUGAGGUUUGAACCCUUCACUAACCCCACCGAUACCUCCUCACUUGCUCAGGGUGAGCUCAAACCUAAUAUAAAAAAGGUUGAUUUGAGACAAAAAGAAAAAAAAAAAAAGAGAAUAAAGGCUGUCGAAGGUUAACAGCGUUGUUUAUUUCUUGUUUGAGAAUCUCUGGGAUCCCCGAUAUCAAAAAGCAGAAGGCUCAGGAAAAGGGCGCCCUGAAGUUUUGCAGGGAGCCCGAGUGCCUGUGGGAACCAAAAGGGGGAACUGCGGUGAUUCUCUGCACGCAGGCAGCCGGGUGCAGGCUGGGCACGGCGCCCUCGGCAUCUCCUCGCACCUCUCAGCCCAUCGGGCGCUGCGGGAAUUUCAGUUUCUCCCUUCAAAUAAAGCACGAGCAUCAUUUUGAUACCCUGCGUAUUUUCCUGCAGGGAAACACUUUGAUUUAGACUUGAAGGAUCUGGGGACCUGGGUGGGUGAGGCUCCAGAAGUCAUGGUGAAAGCGUCUGCUACUUGUUCUCCUGCCUCCCGAAUUUCUUUUAUUCCUCCUCACCAUCCCUAAAAGCCUGGCUGGCAAGAGCACGCCGGCUCUGAGAAGAGUUCACUUAAAUGCAUUGCCAACCAAAUAUUUUAUCUUCUUCUUUUUUUUUUUUUUUCAUACCAGUAGUGAGAGCGUUAAAUAAUAGAUCGCUGGAUUUAUAGGCUGCAUUUAGGUGUGACUAUGAAUAGCUACAAUAAAAAGAAGCAGAAUAUUCAUGUGAAAGGAGGGAGGGGGGCUGGUUUGAUAUUUUUUUUCUCUUCGUCCUUUUUUUUUUUCUAUUUGAGUUUCAGUUUUAGGGCUUAAGAAGAAUCAGAUUUUCUCCUUUCUUUUCUGUUGCUCUCGGGUGACGAGAGUAAUCCAGCUAUUUUCUGAGACCGAAAUUCCUAUGGGAUUUCUCCUUGUUUUCAAUAAUUAAAUAUUAAAGGAGUGAGAAGCAGGCAGAUUGCGUGACAUGGACACAAACGGAAUGGGGUAUUUAUUUGCAUAGGUACGUGGCACACGGGGCAGGAUCGAUCUCCGAGCCCUAUGAAAUUACCAUUACUCCAUUAGAGCGUUACAAACAGAUUAUUGCCCAUUGGAACGCGACUCUUCAAGUCCUAAAAAUAAUUUAACUCCAGGAUUAUUUUUAUUUAAUCUGGUCAAUGACAAAUGCACUGUAAUUCCUAUAAGGCAGAAAUAGGAGCUGGAAGGUGAACCCAACUGCUUUUUCUCCCCCUCUCUUUAUUUUACGGAUAUUUCCCCUUUUCUUCCCCCAUUCUCCUAUUCUUUCUUUCUGAAGUCUCACCGACGCCUCCGAAUUUUGCAACUCCUCUCUCCUUCUUUCCCCUCCAACCACUUCUCAUCGCAAAGUGCCGUACUUCUCCCUGAGAUUUGCCCUCCUCUCUCCCUUAGGACGAAUUCCCGUCUCAACAAGUCACCCAGGGAGGAUCCCCGGCUACAGCUGGGCUCAAUCCCAUGCUCACGGGGUGAUAACCGGCACCACGGCGGUGUUACAGGUGGGCAAGCGGCCAGGUUUCCCUUCUAGCCCACCCUGGCUGGGAUGGGGGGGGGACCUGCUGCCUCCCCACCUCGUGCCUCUGCGUCCCCGAGGGUCACCCAAAAGCCUAAAGGGUGAGCAGGCCCCACGGCAGCCCUACGGCUUCCUCAAAUCCUCCUCACUUUUUCAUAUAUAUAUUUUUAAAUCUUUUUAUUAUUAUUAUUAUUUUGUAAUAGUUCUGUUUUAUUAUGACAACAUGUUUAAUAAGCAGCCCCGGGCUGGAGGGAGGAAUGCGAGCUCCUUGCCGAGAUGUGAAAACGCUGCACUCGUGCUGCCUUGCCCCGUGCUUGCUGCAGCCCCGGUGUGCCCCAUGCAAAGCUCUCAGUGGUGCCAAGGGAGGGGGCCAUGCAUGCGCUGUGAGCCCCCAGCUCCCACCCGGCCCCACAGAGGAGCCCAAAGCAAGCUGGGUUUGUUUGUCCUGGCUUUGGGCAAAGCUGGCAAAGCAGGAGAGACCCCGGCCUGGAGCGACAUCAUGGCAUUUUUUUUUUUUGCAUUUUUCUGACUUCAGUUUUAAGCCUUUCUGGGAUUUCUGUUUCCCUCUGAUGUGUCCCCCUCACCAUGAGGAUGCUCGGCAGCAGGGUUAAUGCCCUCCUGCUAAUUCCUUACAUAACCCUGUGGGCUCAAAUCCUCAAAAGUAUUUGUGUGCCCUCCUCCCUUGGAAAUCAGGGAGUUUAAUUGUCUGCUAAAAUUAUGGCGUUUUUUGUUUUGAAAGCAGAGCAGGAAAUAACCAACUUGGGUUUUAUGAGCUUUGUUUGCCUCUCUGUGGUCACAGAGCACUUUUAUGUACCUUUUACAAAUAAAUUCAGGGGUAAAUAGCCCUGUGACCAGAAUACAGAUGGAUUUGUAGAGUAUGACCAGAGGGAAAUGGGUGCCGAAGGAGGUGAGGGGAGAUGGGCUUGGCCUCCUCUGGUCCCCAUUGGCAAAAUAUGGGUGAGACAAUGGCGCGGCACCAAAAGGAUGCUAAAAGGAAUAACCCAUUAAGGGCUGCGAGAUGCUGAGAUAGGAGAACUGUAGAGAUCGCAGCAGUGAGAUGCCAUCUAUUGCAGACAACCGUUGCACAGCUGACUGCAUCUCCCUCUCUGGAAAUGGCUCCGUUCUUAGUUUCAUUUUUGGCCAUGCGACCUGAUAGGAUUCCUCUCCCUCCUCAGCGUUUGUCCCCUUCAGAUAUUUCAUGCAGCACGGAGGAAGGAGGAAGCAGAAUGCCGUGACAUUGAGGUUUAUUGCUGAUUCUGCUCACGUCGGUUGAAAUCAGUCACUAAACCUCAGCCGGCAGAACCCCGUGCACUGUGUUUUUCUUGCCUAGGUAAUCGCGAUGGCAGCAGGGGGAGGCACUUUUCGUCUCCGAGUGUUUGUGAGUGAAGCCAAACCAUGCAGCUCCGCUCUCGGGGCUGCAAUUACCAGCAUUGUGCACGCGGAAAACGAAGCUGGAGGAGGACGAGCCACUGGCAGGCACUUGGAGGACUCAUCCGAUGAGACAAGUGCACGUUCCUGUGAGGUGCUGCACCGGUGGGGUGCUCCUCUCCAAGGGCAUGAAGUAUGGAUGAAGCUGCCCAUGCUACAGCUCCUUGCCCUGGGUCUGCCCUUGGUGUGAGAACCAAUGGGGCGAGAUGGUUUCAUGCCGUUCACCUUCCGAGCUCUCCUGGUGCCUGGGCACUAAGAGCCUAUGGAAUGAGGAUGGUUCCUCAGUGGUGAAGAACAGGGGGACCAGGUGGACCAAUGACCAGGUCAACAAAGCUCUGGGCCACCAUAUCCUUUUGGCAGCUGCCACCCUGCCAGCAUGGCUUCUGGUUUCUGACUGCCCAUUGCAGGACCUUUUUGCAUACAUGGUUUUUAUGCUUCUUCCAACUUCCACCCUACAUGUGUGCAUCAAGCCCCCACCACCUGCUUAGGCCAACUUUCUGCCAGAACAUAGAAUCAUAGAUUCAUUAAGGUUGGAAAGAUCAAUAAGAUGAUCUAGUCCAACCAUCAACUCAUGAGGAUGAUCGCUGUAGACCAUGUCACUCAGUGCCACAUCUCCUUGGUUCUUAAACACCCCCAGGGAUGGUGACUCCACCACCUCCCUGAGCAGUCUGUGCCAGUGCCUAACCACUCUUUCUGAGAAGAAAUUUUUCCUACAGCAUUGAAUACAGUGAUUCAUAAGGGCUCUCCCAGUCUGCUUCUCCCUUUAGGAGGCUCAUGUCAUAUUAUCCAGCAUCUAAAACUAAGUGGAGUAAAAGCCCGAGAUCUAAUUUUGAAAAUAAUAAUAAAAGAAGAUUUAAUAAUGUGUUGACUCAGUUCUGUGCCACUCCGGUGAAUCAUGACCAUUUGUCACCAGCGAGUUUCAUGGUUUAGGCCCCCAGUGCCAGCACAGAAAUCCCGAGCCCAGUGGAUCGUCAGAGCUUUGACCCGGUGCAAGGAUUCAGUCACCUCUGUGCAUCUCAGAUCCCAGCUGACCCGAUGCUUCACUCUUUUAUUAUCUGUGCACGAUCUCUCCCACUGUGCCAAGAGUUCUGUGUUCUUCAUUUCUCUUCCGUCUCUGAUGCCACAAAGUCAAGUGAAUGUCUUCAAGGAAAUCUCAGUAAUAAAACCUAUUUCCUCCUCCCUGCU